RNAcentral lists this ribosomal RNA (917 nucleotides) under Imleria floridana. Its description in RNAcentral is "Imleria sp. AF-2019a partial large subunit ribosomal RNA". It matches the Rfam family "Eukaryotic large subunit ribosomal RNA", at positions 24 to 933 of the family's 3401-position model. The record is from RNAcentral. Lineage: Eukaryota; Fungi; Basidiomycota; Agaricomycetes; Boletales; Boletaceae.
CCCCGGCUGAACUUAAGCAUAUCAAUAAGCGGAGGAAAAAGAAACUAACAAGGAUUCCCCUAGUAACUGCGAGUGAAGCGGGAAGAGCUCAAAUUUUGAAUCUGGCGGUCUUGCGGCCGUCCGAGUUGUAAUCUAGAGAAGCGUUUUCCGCGCUGGCCCGUGUACAAGUCUCCUGGAAGGGAGCAUCAUAGAGGGUGAGAAUCCCGUCUUUGACACGGACUACCAGGGCUAUGUGAUGCGCUCUCGACGAGUCGAGUUGUUUGGGAAUGCAGCUCAAAAUGGGUGGUAAAUUCCAUCUAAAGCUAAAUACAGGCGAGAGACCGAUAGCGAACAAGUACCGUGAGGGAAAGAUGAAAAGAACUUUGGAAAGAGAGUUAAACAGUACGUGAAAUUGCUGAAAGGGAAACGCUUGAUGUCAGUCGCGUUGGCCAGGGAUCAGCCUUGCUUGAUUGCUGGGUGUACUUCCUGGUCGACGGGUCAGCAUCAGUCUUGGUCGCCAUACAAGGGCGGGGGGAAUGUGGCACUCUUCGGAGUGUGUUAUAGCCUUUCGUCGGAUGUGGUGGCUCGGGACUGAGGAACUCAGCACGGCUUCUGGCUUGUGCUUAGGAUGCUGGCAUAAUGGCCUUAAGCGACCCGUCUUGAAACACGGACCAAGGAGUCUAACAUGCCUGCGAGUGUUUGGGUGGCAAACUCAAGCGCGCAAUGAAAGUGAAAGUCGAGAGCUCUGUCGUGGAGUGCACCGACGCCCGGACCAGAGUCUUUGACGACGGAUCUGCGGUAGAGCAUGCAUGUUGGGACCCGAAAGAUGGUGAACUAUGCCUGAAUAGGGUGAAGCCAGAGGAAACUCUGGUGGAGGCUCGUAGCGAUUCUGACGUGCAAAUCGAUCGUCGAAAUUUGGGUAUAGGGGCGAAAGACUA